This 253-nucleotide ribosomal RNA is filed under the name uncultured bacterium. RNAcentral describes it as "partial 16S ribosomal RNA". It matches the Rfam family "Bacterial small subunit ribosomal RNA", at positions 524 to 776 of the family's 1533-position model. The record is from RNAcentral.
UACGUAGGGGGCGAGCGUUGUCCGGAUUUACUGGGUGUAAAGGGUGCUCAGGUGGUCUUACAAGUCAGAGGUGAAAGCCCAGGGCUUAACUCUGGAACUGCCUUUGAUACUGUAAGGCUUGAGUAUGGAAGAGGUUGAUGGAAUUUCGGGUGUAGCAGUGAAAUGCGUAGAUAUCCGAAAGAACACCAGUGGCGAAGGCGGUCAACUGGUCCAUUACUGACACUAAAGCACGAAAGCGUGGGUAGCAAACAGG